CAGCUGUUUGCAUGGCUUGAAAUGCUUUAGACUCUCAGCAGGACAUCAGGCUGUGGGACAAUUUUUGCUCGAGUUUGCUGAGGACCUCAAGAUCCAGCCCUCAUCCUUGGCUCAUACUUCAGCUAGCCUGUUUUCCCCAAAUCACUCUACAUAUCAUCUUCAGCUAAUCAUCAGUCUCUGCCUGUGUAGAAGAUCAAAAACAACACUCCAUAAGGACAGCUUGGCAUCUGACUUGGCGCUGAUGAAGGACGAGUACAACUUGGUGGUUAAGCCUGUGGGCUCUGUGAGGACCACCGGGGUCCAAAUUAUUGCUUUGCACCUUCCUUGACGUGCAUCUUUGGGUGUGUUACAUUAUCCCUCCAAGCCCUGGUCCCCUCAUCUGCAAACAAGGCAUGGAAAUGCUAAUAGUUAACUUUUAGAGUGUCUGUACAUGUUAAGGAAAAUAAGUAUUGGGAGGAAAAUAUCUGAAAUAUUUUUUCAAAACUUGGAUAGAGGAUGACUUUCCAAUCAAAGCAGACUGUAAACCCAGAACCCACAAAGAAAAAGAUAAAUGCGCGUGAUACGUUGAAAAAAACAAACACCAAACGUAUGGCCAAAGAACAAAACAAAAUAAGAAACCAAACUGUAGACUGGGGAAUUUUUUUGUAACACAUAUGAUAGAAAAAGUAGUAAUAUUCCUAAGAUGCAAAAACCUCCCAUAAACUGAGCAGAAACAGAUAAACCACUCAAUAGAAAAAUGGACAAAUGCUAUGAGUAGGCUCCUCACCAAAGAGGGGAUCCAAAUGGUCAGUGGGCAUCCAAAAGGAUGCUCACGGACAUGCAAAUCGAAGCUAAAAUGAGACACCAUUUUUUUUAACCCAUUAGAUUGGGAAAAAAACUGAAAAAGAGAAAAUAUCGGAAACUGACAAAAAUGUGAGGAAGGAAACCCUCUCAUAUAUGUCUGGUGGGGAUAUGAAAUGUGACAACAAGUAGUACUGGAAACAAUUUAAAUACGUGUUAAAAAUAAACUACACACAGUUUUUUACCUAGCAACCUUACAUUUAAG
Equus asinus (donkey) is the source of this 1045-nucleotide long non-coding RNA. The record is from Ensembl. NCBI's taxonomy places the organism in Eukaryota, Metazoa, Chordata, Mammalia, Perissodactyla, Equidae.